UACGAAGGGGGCUAGCGUUGCUCGGAAUUACUGGGCGUAAAGGGCGCGUAGGCGGCACUGUUAGUCAGGCGUGAAAGUCCUGGGCUCAACCUGGGAACUGCGCUUGAUACGGCAGAGCUAGAGGAUGGAAGAGGGUCGCGGAAUUCCCAGUGUAGAGGUGAAAUUCGUAGAUAUUCGCAAGAACACCAGUGGCGAAGGCGGCUCACUGGCCCGGUACUGACGCUGAGGUGCGAAAGCUAGGGGAGCGAAUGGG
This 253-nucleotide ribosomal RNA is filed under the name uncultured bacterium. RNAcentral describes it as "partial 16S ribosomal RNA". It matches the Rfam family "Bacterial small subunit ribosomal RNA", at positions 524 to 776 of the family's 1533-position model. The record is from RNAcentral.